GAUCGCAUUGUAAAACGGUAGCACACACAGCUAGUUACUGUGAAGUUCAGGUUCGAUUCCUGAUGCGGUCC
This is a non-coding RNA of Rhynchosporium graminicola, 71 nucleotides long. The record is from the annotation of a GenBank genome assembly. NCBI's taxonomy places the organism in Eukaryota, Fungi, Ascomycota, Leotiomycetes, Helotiales, Ploettnerulaceae.